Molecule: long non-coding RNA, 2867 nt
Organism: Folsomia candida
Lineage: Eukaryota; Metazoa; Arthropoda; Collembola; Entomobryomorpha; Isotomidae
Exons: 2
Source: RefSeq, a predicted model, not a curated record
UAUGUGCUGAUCACUGAUCGCUUAUCUCUUAUCCGGACCCUUUGUUCCCUCCAACUGCACCUCGGACGGAAUAAAUCGCCCCCAUUUAUCCAGCCAGCCUGGAACUUGGACUCAUCACAUUUUGCCAAUUGAAUUCCAGCCCAUGCUUUAGUUUAGUGGUGGUGAUCAUAAAUACAUACGUACGUACAUACAAUUCAUUCCGCAAGGUCAACCCUUUUAGAGGAGAGGUUUAUGUAGUUUGGUAGCACAUCAAGUAGUUUCGUCGUUCGAUUCGAUUGCUGCGAAAACAAGGCUUACUUAUGUAGUUUUACGUACUUUUGUGUUAAGUGUGUUAGUGGUUGAUGAGUGAGUGGCAAUGGUUUGGUAAAUAAGCAGAUAUUUAGUGUUGGUUGGGAGUGGUGGUGGUCUGGUCGAGGUGGAAAUGCGACAAGUGGUUCUUGGUUCGUGAUGUCGUCCAAGUUUCGCUUAAUGUAGUCACUUCCAAGUGUUUGUAUUAUCAUCUCGGUCGGUCGGUAGGAUUUAUUAGAGGGCUGCUAAAUGGUUAAGAAUUCGAGGCAAGUGAGGAGUAGCAGUUCUACUACUUAAUUCAAGUGAUAAGACAACGAGGACUAAAUUCUGUGGAAGAGAGAAAACCUGUCUUGUCAACAGUUAAACAAACAUUGGGAAUAAAGAAUCGGGGUAGCCGAUCCGUGAGUGAGUGAGUGAGUGAGUGAGGUAAGUGAAGUAAUGACUACUCAAAAUUCAUGGCGUGUCUUUUGCCAAGUAACAUGUUUUCUUACACGGUCCUCCGCGUCCGCCUAACAAGGAGACGGAGGAAGGGAGAGAGAAAGGUGCGGAGGAGAAAGUGUCACGUCCACGUCUUUCCAAAUCCAAUCCAAUGCCACCCGGGACGCCAGACUGCUACUUACUUACCCACCGACGACCAAACUCACUCACUCCUUGCUUACUUACAUAUACGAACAUAUACUCAAACUAAAGCUACUCCCACUUUAUUCUAAUCUCUCUCUCACUUUCUUCCUUUCUCAAACGAGAGGCAAGCCAAGCCAGGGGAGAAAAUGAAGAGGAAAUUUUAAGCCUGCCUGCUUUCUCCGGUCGACGUACGUACAGCCUCCUUCCUCUUUUUUACUCAGGUGGUAGGGUGCAAAAAUGGGAGAAAUUCGUAAGCUAUUUUGGGCAACAGAUUCCAGGAGAAAAGGGGAGAAAUUCAGGCACUUUUGUGACCAAAUUCCAACGAAACCGGGAGAAAUGAGCUUGUUUUUGGAACGAAUUGUGCCCAAAAUGAGAGAACUUCAACACUUUUUUAAAACAAAUUGUGCAAAAAAUGAGAGAAAUUCAUCUUGAAAACAAUUUUUGUAAAAAAUUGUAAAAAUUCUCUACUUGGAAUGAAUUUUAGCAAAAACUGGGAAAAAAUUCCUUCCUCGAUUAUUUUAUAACCACGUAUUUCGUAUUCUUAAAUCGGGACAAAAUUUCAUCCGUAAUGCUAUAAAAAUCCAUUCUUUUGCGUUUAAAGUGACACACAAUUUUAACUCGGUUACUCGGUUUUUGGUCAAAAUUUAGCCAAAAUGACAUCAUUCUCCUCCCAACCCUGUCUUUCAUUUGUGGCAAUAAACGAACUUCCAUAAAACGAGACAGCUUAAUUUUCCACGGGCGAGAACAACAUAACAUUUUACAUGGCACACAAUUUACGAGGAACUGGAACUUGGCUAAACUUUUGGGUUGUAGAAUGCCGUGAGGGAUGUCACUUUAUGUUCCUCACUACUACUACGAAAUUACGCAAGAAAAUCUCUCCUCCAAUCACAAUUUGCAUAAAAUCCUUACCUCUCACUUCAAAAAAUUGACUCAAAUCCAUCAAUUUUCACUUAAGUAAUAUUUCUCGAGUCAAAAAGUGUGCAAAAGAUUCAACAAAAUAAUUUUUGUCACGAUAUGAAGCCAGCAUUUUAAAAAAUAAGUGUUUAAAAAUUGUUAUGCAAAGUUAGAUGGAUGCUUAAUCUUGUUUUUCCAAAAGUUUAAAGCUUUAAAAUUUCAUUUUUUUAAACCCUUAAUUUUUUAUCAAGUACAAAAAUUCAAUCGUACCAAAAUUUCCGUAUUUUCUACAUAAAAAUGCCACCAAAUUCAUCAUUUAACACUAAACUAAUAACCUUUGUCUCAAAGUUUACAUAAAAAAAAUAAUUGUCACGGUAUAACGCCAAUAUUUUGAAAAUUUAAUGGUUAAACACGGUUAUGCAAAGUUAGAUGCAUAAAAUCUAACUGAUUUAUUUUUUAAAAAUUUUACAGUGGAAUUUUCCUACUAGUCUUUUACCAAUUACAGAAAUUCAAAUCCUCGUCCACCAUUUCUUUACCCAUCCUCCGAAGAAAACCUUUCAUAAAAUCCCCCCAAUCACUCCCCCUCCCCCCAAAAAACAACACCAAACUUUUCUCCUUCUUCUUUUUCUACCUACACAGAAAAAAAGUUGUAACAGCUAAUUAGCAAAAAAAUACGGGAAACGAACCCUCCCAACAAAAAAAACUUGCUCAACAACAAAAUCAUCACCAUCAUUAAAAAUUGUAUUUCCAAACUAGCCGAAAACAAGUGAAACUUUCCAACUACCAAUUUCGCAAUAAAAAACUUUAAACUUUCCUCCGUUUCAAGAACCUGUCAUAAAUAUUUAAUAUUUUACUUUCCCAGAAAAAUGUACGCCUUCUUCACUCCACUGAACUUUCUCCCUUUCUCCCAGAAUCCAGAUCAUGCGUAUACCCGAUUUCAGAUAUCUACUUCAUUCUUCUUAUCUCUAAAUUAGCCGAUAAGACGGCAAACAAUUAAUAAAUAUCUAAGCAAGUACUAAUUUCGCAAUCAACACGUUUCGCAAUAAAAAACACUUUAAACUUUC